This 253-nucleotide ribosomal RNA is filed under the name uncultured bacterium. RNAcentral describes it as "partial 16S ribosomal RNA". It matches the Rfam family "Bacterial small subunit ribosomal RNA", at positions 524 to 776 of the family's 1533-position model. The record is from RNAcentral.
UACGGAGGGAGCUAGCGUUGUUCGGAAUUACUGGGCGUAAAGCGCACGUAGGCGGCUUUGUAAGUUAGAGGUGAAAGCCCGGGGCUCAACUCCGGAACUGCCUUUAAGACUGCAUCGCUUGAAUCCAGGAGAGGUGAGUGGAAUUCCGAGUGUAGAGGUGAAAUUCGUAGAUAUUCGGAAGAACACCAGUGGCGAAGGCGGCAUCCUGGACCGGCAUUGACGCUGAGGAGCGAAAGCUAGGGGAGCAAACAGG